AUCACUUCUCAGCCUUUUGGCUAAGAUCAAGUGUAGUAUCUGUUCUUAUCAGUUUUUUUCCAGGUGUUCAAAAUGGUACCCAUAGUUUUAUAUUUUAGUGUAUAUUGUUACAUUUGGAGCUAAUUAACAGUGUUGUAAAAAUUAGAGUAAUUUUGCCAUUUUGGCUAACUUUGUUCUUUUGUU
Non-coding RNA from Mustela putorius furo (domestic ferret), 183 nucleotides. NCBI's taxonomy places the organism in Eukaryota, Metazoa, Chordata, Mammalia, Carnivora, Mustelidae. The record is from Rfam.